This 629-nucleotide long non-coding RNA is filed under the name Urocitellus parryii (Arctic ground squirrel). RNAcentral's name for it is "lncRNA (ENSUPAG00010000167.1)". The record is from RNAcentral. Lineage: Eukaryota; Metazoa; Chordata; Mammalia; Rodentia; Sciuridae.
UUUUUUCCUUCUGCUUUAUAUUAUACCUUAGAAUGUUCCUUACUGGGGCUGAGCUCUGUUCUCGGGGUAUGGCUACUUUGGGUACCUCACUGAGGGGACCUCUGAACAGAGUGUGCCAUCAGUAAAGAAGUGUUAGGUGAAUACACCUCACCAUUCAGGUUUUGUUGUCUUGUAGGUGAGAGGCAUAGAUCUCACUCGCGAUGGCAUCAGCAGCAUUGACGAUGUGAACCUAGUGAUCAGUGACCCGGGUGACCAGCAGAGCCGCUGACAAGACUAUCCCUCUCUUCCUGAUAGAGGAGAAUACAGCUAAUCCGUGCAGGUGACAAAGAUACAGAACAGCAGCGUGGCACUGCAUUGUCUGGAACUCAGACUCCUUUUUCCCUGGCGUUGUAUAAGAAGCCCGUGAUGUGUACCCAGCCACGGACCAUGUGAUUCCUCUGAGCCGAAAACAAAUUCUGCUUUGUGUCAGUCUGUUUUUAGGGAGGCCCCAGCACUACAUUGCUGCAGAAGUCUGCGCGUCUCCUGCCAACACAAGUGGCUUGAGAGCAGACCCAUCACUUAGGAGCAAUGUCAGUCCCACAGUAGAGAGCUUGGCCAGGGUCCCCUGGGCGGCAAGAGGCGGAACUGGC